CCUACGGGAGGCUGCAGUGGGGAAUAUUGGACAAUGGGGGGAACCCUGAUCCAGCCAUGCCGCGUGUGUGAAGAAGGCCCUCGGGUUGUAAAGCACUUUCAGUGAGGAAGAACGCCUGGUGGUUAAUACCCAUCAGGAAAGACAUCACUCACAGAAGAAGCACCGGCUAACUCCGUGCCAGCAGCCGCGGUAAUACGGAGGGUGCGAGCGUUAAUCGGAAUUACUGGGCGUAAAGCGCGCGUAGGUGGCUUGAUAAGCCGGUUGUGAAAGCCCCGGGCUCAACCUGGGAACGGCAUCCGGAACUGUCAAGCUAGAGUGCAGGAGAGGAAGGUAGAAUUCCCGGUGUAGCGGUGAAAUGCGUAGAGAUCGGGAGGAAUACCAGUGGCGAAGGCGGCCUUCUGGACCGACACUGACACUGAGGUGCGAAAGCGUGGGUAGCAAACAGGAUUAGAUACCCUAGUAGUC
This 465-nucleotide ribosomal RNA is filed under the name Vreelandella stevensii. RNAcentral's name for it is "partial 16S ribosomal RNA". It matches the Rfam family "Bacterial small subunit ribosomal RNA", at positions 338 to 795 of the family's 1533-position model. Lineage: Bacteria; Pseudomonadati; Pseudomonadota; Gammaproteobacteria; Oceanospirillales; Halomonadaceae. The record is from RNAcentral.